Molecule: long non-coding RNA, 688 nt
Organism: Cucurbita moschata (crookneck pumpkin)
Lineage: Eukaryota; Viridiplantae; Streptophyta; Magnoliopsida; Cucurbitales; Cucurbitaceae
Exons: 2
Source: RefSeq, a predicted model, not a curated record
AUCUAAGUUUACCUUAAAAGUCGAUCUCUCUCAAGUUUAUUGAAGGUCUUAAAGACCAAAAUCCGAGAUGAGAGUGAAGAGAAAAAUGAUGAGGAAUAAAAGAACGGAAGAAAAAUAUAAAAGAAAAAUAAUAGAAAACUAAAAGGAUCGUCAAGGUAAAUCCCUGGAGGGUAAUUUGGUCAUUAUACCUCCUUUUUAGUAACAUAGGAAUAAAAGAGAAAAAGGAAAAAAAAAAAUAAAGGGGAAAAGGAAGAGAAGGAGAAAGUGCGGAAAGAAAAGAAUGUAAAUAGUGAGAGAGAAAAUUAUAGAGAGAGAAGGAAAGUUCUAGAGAGAGAGGGAGGUAACCGCCGCUCCGGCCACGAGGAGUCCGGUUCCGGCCGAGCCUUCAUGAAAUCUUCACAGAACUUAGAGAAGAACAUUCUUAACUUUUAGAUCGUCCAAAACCAUCCAGAAACGAGGAAAAAAAUCUAAAGGUAAAGUUCUUGAAUCCAGAUUCUCGAAAUUGCUUUAGAUCUGUGAGAUACAGUAAGAGUUAGAGCCUGAAAUUUGAGUAUGUUAAUCUACAGAGGAUUACGCUCAAAAUCUGUGAAGAAAUUUGGCCGAGACCUCAACCCAAAGGCGGAGAUCCGAGGGUCAUCCGAGAACGGGACUUAAUUUAGAGAAAUCAGUAGUUUUGGACACCUCACGG